GGAAACUAAAAGGGCAAAGACUCGAGCUUGACUUGUGAUACCUGUUGAGUAGCACUCACUCACAUCAGAAAAACACUAUGAGAUUGAAUUUCAAAAGGCUUAUGUGGCAGAUUUCCUUGGAUACAGUGUUUAUUUGCUGCUUGUCCCUGUGCAUUGACUUCCAGACAACACAGUCUCUGGGAAAUGCAGGAAACAGAGCUGGAACUGGAACUGGAUUCCUGCUGGAUGACAUCUGUGGCUGCAGCUAUGCUUCGUGACAAAUACCACCUGGGUGAGGAGAUUUGGGAUUCCAGCGUGGCCACCCAAUGAAAUUAUUUUAUCCAAGAGAAUCACCAUAUCCAUCAGUGAAAACAAACCACCUGCUAUUUUUCUCUAUGAGAAGAGCUUCUGUUGAGGCAAAGAAUGCAGUAAACUCACAGUCCUGAGGAAGAAUUUGUGUGCAGCAUUGAGCCAACAACUGUGGGAGAUGAAUACUCAACUUUACACAGCCGAUACACAAAGAUAUAUCAUUAUCCUCAACUUUAUGCAAAAGUUCAGAGGACUGAUGUAACACAGGUCUUUGCUGAAGUUACUGCAGAUUCUCUUGAAUCCUCUCCAGACCAUCUGUAGCCUAUGUUACACCUGAGGAGCAGACAGGGCUUGGUGUGCGUGGCAAAAUGCUCACUAUGAAAGAAAAACAGGGGCAGCAACACCAAUGCCAGCAGUGCAGGGUUUACCAUGCUGCUAGUCUCACUCCAUGAUCACAAGGAUAACAUUGGUAAGUUGGUAACAUUGCAUGCCCAUGCUUUUUG
This is a long non-coding RNA of Ficedula albicollis (Collared flycatcher), 791 nucleotides long. RefSeq lists it as uncharacterized. The transcript is spliced from 3 exons. The record is from RefSeq and is a predicted model, not a curated record. NCBI's taxonomy places the organism in Eukaryota, Metazoa, Chordata, Aves, Passeriformes, Muscicapidae.